This 252-nucleotide ribosomal RNA is filed under the name uncultured Bacteroidales bacterium. RNAcentral describes it as "partial 16S ribosomal RNA". It matches the Rfam family "Bacterial small subunit ribosomal RNA", at positions 524 to 776 of the family's 1533-position model. The record is from RNAcentral. Lineage: Bacteria; Pseudomonadati; Bacteroidota; Bacteroidia; Bacteroidales.
UACGGAGGAUGCGAGCGUUAUCCGGAUUUAUUGGGUUUAAAGGGUGCGUAGGCGGAAUAUCAAGUCAGCGGUAAAAAUUCAGGGCUCAACCCUGUCGAGCCGUCGGAACUGGCAGUCUUGAGUGGGCGAGAAGUAUGCGGAAUGCGUGGUGUAGCGGUGAAAUGCAUAGAUAUCACGCAGAACGCCGAUUGCGAAGGCAGCAUACCGGCGCCCAACUGACGCUGAGGCACGAAAGCGUGGGGAUCGAACAGG